RNAcentral lists this ribosomal RNA (497 nucleotides) under uncultured bacterium. RNAcentral describes it as "partial 16S ribosomal RNA". It matches the Rfam family "Bacterial small subunit ribosomal RNA", at positions 28 to 507 of the family's 1533-position model. The record is from RNAcentral.
GAUGAACGCUGGCGGCGUGCCUAAUACAUGCAAGUCGAGCGAACGGACGAGAAUCUUGUUGCUUUGAUGUUAGCGGCGGACGGGUGAGUAACACGUGUAUACCCUACCUAUAAUACUGGUAUAACCUCGGGAAACCGGAUCUUAUCCCGUAUAAUAUUUUGAACCGCAUUGGUCAAAAGUAAAAGACGGUCUUUGUGGCAGUUAUAGCUGGAUCCGCGCUGCAUUAGAUGGUUGGUAAGGUCACGGCUUACCAAGGCGACGAUGCAUAACCGACGUGAGAGAGUGAUAGCCCGCACUGGAGCGGAGACACGGUCCAGACUCCUGAGGGAGGCAGCAGUAGGGAAUCGUACGCAAUAGGCGAAAGCAUGACGGAGCAACGGGGCGCGAGUGAUGAAGGUCUUCGGAUCGUAAAACUCUGUUAUUAGGGAAGAACCUAUGUGUAAGUAACUGUGCACAUCUUGACGGUACCUAAUAAGAAAGCAACGGCUAACUACGUG